RNAcentral lists this ribosomal RNA (491 nucleotides) under uncultured microorganism. RNAcentral describes it as "bacterial SSU rRNA". It matches the Rfam family "Bacterial small subunit ribosomal RNA", at positions 9 to 490 of the family's 1533-position model. The record is from RNAcentral.
GAGUUUGAUCAUGGCUCAGGAUGAACGCCGGCGGUGUGCCUAAUACAUGCAAGCCGUACGCACUGGCCCAACUGAUUGAUGGUGCUUGCACCUGAUCGACGAUGGAUCACCAGUGAGUGGCGGACGGGUGAGUAACACGUAGGUAACCUGCCCUGUACAGGGGAUAACAAUCAGAAAUGACUGCUAAUACCGCAUAAGACCACAGCACCGCAUGGUGCAGGGGUAAAAACUCCGGUGGUACAGGAUGGACCCGCGUCUGAUUAGCUGGUUGGUGAGGUAACGGCUCACCAAGGCGACGAUCAGUAGCCGGCUUGAGAGAGUGAACGGCCACAUUGGGACUGAGACACGGCCCAAACUCCUACGGGAGGCAGCAGUGGGGAAUAUUGCACAAUGGGGAAACCCUGAUGCAGCAACGCCGCGUGAGUGAAGAAGUAUUUCGGUAUGUAAAGCUCUAUCAGCAGGGAAGAAAGUGACGGUACCUGACUAAGAAG